AAAUCAAAAGAGAUUUUGCCGAAAUUAGUGAAGCUUGAAGAAGAACAUUCGAGAAGUUGAGAGAGAGAGAGAGUAAUGUGGGGUGGGGGAAGUAUUUAUAUAUAGAGAGAUAAAAACUAACUUUUGCUGAUCAUGUAACUAACCCCACAUUUACAUCUAAUUACAUUUAAUUCUCAAUUAAGCAUAAUAUCAAUAAAAAUGUUAACUUACUCUAAUAGCACCAAAAAAUUAGUCGGAGAAUAUGUACAUAUGUGUAUAUAUAUAUAUAUCUUAGUGCCAAACUAAAAAUGUAUAAGUAGAUAUAUAUGGGGUUGACAAGCAAAAGAAAGACAGUAUCUUACUUUGGUCUCGUGGAGUGUUUGCUACUUUGAGAACCAUACAAUUAUG
This 387-nucleotide long non-coding RNA is filed under the name Carica papaya (papaya). RNAcentral describes it as "long non-coding RNA (CPAP_LNC006008)". The record is from RNAcentral. Lineage: Eukaryota; Viridiplantae; Streptophyta; Magnoliopsida; Brassicales; Caricaceae.